GGUGCGUUGGGGGCGGGAGGGGGGUGAAGUACGAAGGGGGGUGUGGGGGGUAGGAAUUACUGGGCGUAAUGCGUACGGAGGCGUGUGUCUAAGUCGGGGGUGAAAUCCUGGAGCUCAACGCAAGAACUGCCUUCGGUACUGGGGAGCGCGAGUCCGGGAGAGGUGAGUGGAACUGCGAGGGUAGAGGGGAAAUUCGUAGAUAUUCGCAAGAACACCAGUGGCGAAGGCGGCUCACUGGCCCGGUACUGACGCUGAGGUGCGAAAGCGUGGGAGCAAACAGGAUUAGAUACCCUGGUAGUC
This 300-nucleotide ribosomal RNA is filed under the name uncultured Bacillus sp. RNAcentral describes it as "partial 16S ribosomal RNA". The stretch from base 53 to 300 matches the Rfam family "Bacterial small subunit ribosomal RNA", at positions 547 to 795 of the family's 1533-position model. The record is from RNAcentral. Lineage: Bacteria; Bacillati; Bacillota; Bacilli; Caryophanales; Bacillaceae.